GACGAACGCUGGCGGCGUGCCUAAUACAUGCAAGUCGAACGCUGAAGGAGGAGCUUGCUCUUCUGGAUGAGUUGCGAACGGGUGAGUAACGCGUAGGUAACCUGCCUGGUAGCGGGGGAUAACUAUUGGAAACGAUAGCUAAUACCGCAUAACAGUAGAUGUUGCAUGACAUUUGCUUAAAAGGUGCAAUUGCAUCACUACCAGAUGGACCUGCGUUGUAUUAGCGAGUUGGUGGGGUAACGGCUCACCAAGGCGACGAUACAUAGCCGACCUGAGAGGGUGAUCGGCCACACUGGGACUGGGACACGGCCCAGACUCCUACGGGAGGCAGCAGUAGGGAAUCUUCGGCAAUGGACGGAAGUCUGACCGAGCAACGCCGCGUGAGUGAAGAAGGGUUUCGGAUCGUAAAGCUCUGUUGUAAGAGAAGAACGAGUGUGAGAGUGGAAAGUUCACACUGUGACGGUAGCUUACCAGAAAGGGACGGCUAACUACGUG
This 495-nucleotide ribosomal RNA is filed under the name uncultured bacterium. RNAcentral describes it as "partial 16S ribosomal RNA". It matches the Rfam family "Bacterial small subunit ribosomal RNA", at positions 28 to 507 of the family's 1533-position model. The record is from RNAcentral.